AAGUAAGUUUUACAAGGUAAUCAGGGUCCUGUUGGGGUGCCAGGACAGACAGACUGGCUAACUUUAUGUUUUACAGAGUAGUCUGGGUCCUGUUGGGGUGCCAGGACAGACAGACUGGCUAACUUUAUGUUUUACAGAGUAGUCUGGGUCCUGUUGGGGUGCCAGGACAGACAGACUGACUAACUUUAUGUUUUACAGGGUAGUCUGGGUCCUGUUGGGGUGCCAGGACAGACAGACUGGCUAACUUUAUGUUUUACAGAGUAGUCUGGGUCCUGUUGGGGUGCCAGGACAGACAGACUGACUAACUUUAUGUUUUACAGGGUAGUCUGGGUCCUGUUGGGGUGCCAGGACAGACAGACUGACUAACUUUAUGUUUUACAGGGUAGUCUGGGUCCUGUUGGGGUGCCAGGACAGGUGGGCCCAAAGGGAGAUCAGGGGAAUAUUGGACCGUCUGGGCCAAGAGGAACACCUGGGAUGCCAGGACUACCCGGUUUGUUUGGCGAGAAGGGUUUGAAAGGCUUUGAGGGAUUUCCUGGGCAACCUGGGACAAGGGGCCUGCCGGGGGCACCUGGACUCCCAGGACUUCCAGGACCCUCAGUAAACAUGACCCUU
Molecule: long non-coding RNA, 612 nt
Organism: Oncorhynchus kisutch (coho salmon)
Lineage: Eukaryota; Metazoa; Chordata; Actinopteri; Salmoniformes; Salmonidae
Exons: 5
Source: RefSeq, a predicted model, not a curated record